UGGAGCGGUCCUUGGUUCCAGGUGGAAGGUAGGCUGCAUAAACAGCCUAGAAGGUGGGCUUUCUGGACCCACUGAAAUGUUACUAGUGUGACUGGCUGUAACUUAGUAACCAGCUCAAAAAUACAAAAAAGAAAACCAGCCUAACAGGUCCCAGACCGCUUGCACUAAACUUCACAACUAGUUCUGAAGGGUAUGGAGCCUACAUAGAUUCAUAAGAGUCCAGUGUUUCCAAAGGACAUUAAUUUUGAUGUCUCUGAUGAAGGCUUGUGGCUGCCCCUCAUGCUUUACAAAAUAUGACCAAGUCAGAGCUGAAAAGAAAACCCAAAAGAAGAGCCCAUCUUUCUUCUCCUAGAACACUGGGCACCAGAUCACGCCCAGAUGCUAUGG
Molecule: long non-coding RNA, 387 nt
Organism: Tupaia belangeri chinensis (Chinese tree shrew)
Lineage: Eukaryota; Metazoa; Chordata; Mammalia; Scandentia; Tupaiidae
Exons: 4
Source: RefSeq, a predicted model, not a curated record